GUGUUUUUGGAGAGAGAUGGAAGGAGAUGGACCAAACUCAUUGGCACUUCGGAGUUCUUAUCCUUGCUGGUGUUUUCAGCUCCAAUGGGGAUUUCACAGAAUCCCUGUGGGAUGCAGAAACUGGCAGAGAACUUUUCCGUGCAACAAUGUCUCUUGAAAACGUUCACAUCAUUUCCUGGAUUAACUGCUUCAAUAACCCGAGACAAAAGACCAGCUCGAUGGCGGAGAGACAAGCUAGCUGCAAUCAGGUCAGUGUGGGACAAGUGGAUGGACCACCUUCCCCUGUUUUACAACCCUGUGCCCAACGUUACUGUUGAUGACCAGGUUACGCCAUUUAGGGGCCGCUGCCCAUUCAGGCAGUACAUACCGUCUGAAUCUGAAAAAUAUGGAAUCAAGAUCUGGCCUGCCUGUGAUGCUGCUUCAUCAUAUGUGUGGAACUUGCAAGUUUAUAUGGAAAUACAGAUGGAGAAGCACCUGAGAAGAACCAAGGGAUGCGGGUUGUCCUGGACAUGACACAGGGACUCCGUGGCCAUAACAUCACAUGCGAUUACAUUUUUACUUUGCACAAGCCGGGACAGGAGCUCUUUAAGAGGAAGCUGACGAUGGUAGGAACAGAACGAAGAAAAAAACAAGCCAGAGCUCCCACUUCAGCAGUUGAAUACACGGAACAGAUCUAUCAAUUCCUAUAAGUUUGUCCCUAGUGUCCUAUGUGCCAAUGAAUAGCAAAAAAUGUGGUACUCAUUAGUACGCUGCAUAGGGAUGGGAGAAUCUGUGGCUAGGAACAUCAAAAACCAGAAAUCAUAAUGGAUUAGAAUGCAACAAAAGGAGGGAUGACUGGCUACAGCUGCAAAAGAAGAACCCUACGCUGGCCACUUGUGAUAUUCUUCAACAUCUUGGACAUCUCCGCUUACAACGCCUUUGUCAUCUGGAUGGCGUUGAACCCAGAUUGGAACAGAGGGAAGCUCCAGAGGAGACAACUUUUUCUCGUUGAGCUGGGCAAGGCAUUGGUAAGACCUCAAAUCCAGAAGAGGGAAUAUAUCCCAAGGACCCCAGCUUCGGCAGCCAUCGUGAGGAGGAUUCAGGAGGAGGAUGCUGGUUCCCCGUCCGCCCCGACCCACAGAACCAUCAACUCCAAUACAGGAAGUAAGUAUUUGCAGCCAGUAGCAACAAGAAGAAGCGCUGUGACGUGUGUGGACCCAAGAAGGACAGGAAAACACAGUACACAUGCUCCAAGUGCAAGAAAAACAUUUGAAACACACACACACACAGUAAAACUCUGUCCCUCAUGUUGUGUGUAGACCGGGCAUUAAAUUGUGUUCAAUGGGGCUCAUUUAUCAUUUCCAAAAAAUUC
Molecule: long non-coding RNA, 1351 nt
Filed under: Salmo salar (Atlantic salmon)
Lineage: Eukaryota; Metazoa; Chordata; Actinopteri; Salmoniformes; Salmonidae
Description: lncRNA (ENSSSAG00000111037.1)
Source: RNAcentral